RNAcentral lists this transfer RNA (75 nucleotides) under Nitrospirota bacterium. RNAcentral describes it as "Nitrospirae bacterium (groundwater metagenome) tRNA-Val". It matches the Rfam family "tRNA". Rfam says of the family: Transfer RNA (tRNA) molecules are approximately 80 nucleotides in length. Lineage: Bacteria; Pseudomonadati; Nitrospirota. The record is from RNAcentral. RNAcentral also lists the same sequence under 1 other name.
GGGCGAUUAGCUCAGUGGGAGAGCGCUUCCUUCACACGGAAGAAGUCGUAGGUUCAAUCCCUACAUCGCCCACCA